Molecule: transfer RNA, 75 nt
Filed under: bacterium
Lineage: Bacteria
Also listed under: 7 other names
Description: tRNA-Gly
Rfam family: tRNA
About the family: Transfer RNA (tRNA) molecules are approximately 80 nucleotides in length.
Source: RNAcentral
GCGGGAGUAGCUCAGAGGUAGAGCGUCUCCUUGCCAAGGAGAAGGUCGCGGGUUCAAGUCCCGUCUCCCGCUCCA